UUAGAGUUUGAUCCUGGCUCAGGAUGAACGCUAGCGGGAGGCUUAACACAUGCAAGUCGAGGGGUAACAGAGGUAGCAAUACUUGCUGACGACCGGCGUACGGGUGAGUAACGCGUAUGCAACCUGCCCUAUACAGGAGGAUAGCCCGAAGAAAUUCGGAUUAAUACUCCAUGCAGCAUAUUUUUCGCAUGAUAAAUAUGUUAAAGAUUUAUCGGUAUAGGAUGGGCAUGCGUCCCAUUAGUUAGUUGGUGAGGUAAUGGCUCACCAAGGCUUCGAUGGGUAUGGGGUCUAAAAGGAUGGUCCCACACACUGGCACUGAGACACGGGCCAGACUCCUACGGGAGGCAGCAGUGAGGAAUAUUGGUCAAUGGGCGAGAGCCUGAACCAGCCAUCCCGCGUGCAGGAUGACAGUCCUAGUGAUUGUAAACUGCUUUUCUAUAAGAUGAAUAAGGACUACGUGUAGUUCGAUGACCGUAUUAUAGGAAUAAGCAUCGGCUAACUCCGUGCCAGCAGCCGCGGUAAUACGGAGGAUGCAAGCGUUAUCCGGAUUUAUUAGGUUUAAAGGGUGCGUAGGUGGGCGUUUAAGUCAGUGGUUAAAGCCAAUAGCUUAACUAUUGUAUGCCAUUGAAACUGGAUGUCUUGAAUAGGGUAGAGGUAGGCGGAAUGUGUUGUGUAGCGGUGAAAUGCUUAGAUAUAACACAGAACACCGAUUGCGAAGGCAGCUUACUAUGCCUUUAUUGACACUGAUGUACGAAAGCGUGGGGAUCAAACAGGAUUAGAUACCCUGGUAGUCCACGCUGUAAACGAUGAUCACUCGUUUUUGGCAAUACAUCGUCAGAGACUAAGCGAAAGCAUUAAGUGAUCCACCUGGGGAGUACGUUCGCAAGAAUGAAACUCAAAGGAAAUGACGGGGGCCCGCACAAGCGGUGGAGCAUGUGGUUUAAUUCGAUGCAACGCGAAGAACCUUACCCGGUCUUGACAUCCGUAGGAUCCUUCAGAGAUGAGGGAGUGCCUUUCGGGGAACUACGAGACAGGUGCUGCAUGGCUGUCGUCAGCUCGUGUCGUGAGAUGUUGGGUUAAGUCCCGCAACGAGCGCAACCCCCGCAUCCAGUUGCCAUCAUUAGGUUGGGGACUCUGGAUGGACCACUGCGGUAACAACGCAGAGGAAGGUGGGGAGGACGUCAAGCAAUCAUGGUCCUUACGACCGGGGGUACACACGUGCUACAAUGCUAGUUACAGAGGGUUGCGAAGCCGUAAGGUGGAGCUAAUCUCAUAAAAGCCAUUCUCAGUUCGGAUUGCAGGCUGCAACUCGCCUGCAUGAAGUCGGAAUCGCUAGUAAUCGCGGAUCAGCAUGUCGCGGUGAAUAAGGGCCCGGGCCCUGCACUCACCGCCCGUCAA
Molecule: ribosomal RNA, 1398 nt
Filed under: uncultured bacterium
Lineage: Bacteria
Description: bacterial SSU rRNA
Rfam family: Bacterial small subunit ribosomal RNA
Source: RNAcentral